Non-coding RNA from Odocoileus virginianus texanus, 73 nucleotides. Lineage: Eukaryota; Metazoa; Chordata; Mammalia; Artiodactyla; Cervidae. The record is from the annotation of a RefSeq genome assembly.
UCCCUGGUGGUCCAGUGGCUAACACUCCACACUCCUAAUGCUGGAGGCCCUGGUUCGAUUCCUGGUCAGGGAA